GCCCGCCCAUUCACACGCCUCUCACAUACCGCAACGCUGGCCACACCCCCUUUUGCCAGCCACAACGACCCUUUGGAAACCGCAGCUUCCCGGACGGAGUUGCCACUCGAGCGACCACUAAUCAUAACGAUAACACCUAAUCAACCGCAACUCGGCGGGCCAUCCAGCGAUACGGAAUUCGUAAUCCGGACGGAAUCCGGAAUUCCAAUCGAAAUCCGUAACCGAAUCGAGGAGCCAACCCACCCACUCACUCACUUACUCACUGCCACACCGCCCACAAAUCGAAACCGAAAAAGGUUUCGGGCUAAAUUAAAUGAAACGUUGAUAAGGCGCAAAAGGGCGCACUAAACGAUUAAAUCGACUGAGCGAGCAAAUGAGAGAGUGGCUUUCUCCGCCGGCCCGACCUCUACUGCCACCCAACCGCCACCCCAUGCCGGAGGUCACCCACUCGACUGGUGUUUUCCGCCCAACCACCCACACAACUGCCAUUGACAACUGACCCGUAGACCUGACGGAGGGCGGACGUGCCCGACUGACUUUCGGCACAAGUGCGCAGCGAUGGCGAAAAGUGAAUUUUCCGCUCGUCGCUCGCUUGGCUUUCC
This is a non-coding RNA of Drosophila melanogaster (fruit fly), 602 nucleotides long. Lineage: Eukaryota; Metazoa; Arthropoda; Insecta; Diptera; Drosophilidae. The record is from Ensembl.